AGUCUUUAUAAUAGUUAAUAUUAAUUUUAGUUUCGACCUAAAAAAAGCAUGUUUUAUGCAUUAACUA
RNAcentral lists this transfer RNA (67 nucleotides) under Plegadiphilus threskiornis. RNAcentral describes it as "tRNA-Arg". The record is from RNAcentral. Lineage: Eukaryota; Metazoa; Arthropoda; Insecta; Psocodea; Menoponidae.